Molecule: long non-coding RNA, 1010 nt
Filed under: Urocitellus parryii (Arctic ground squirrel)
Lineage: Eukaryota; Metazoa; Chordata; Mammalia; Rodentia; Sciuridae
Description: lncRNA (ENSUPAG00010020409.1)
Source: RNAcentral
GCCAAAUGUUCAGUACCUUGCAGUAGCAGAGGUGGGUGAGGGGUUCCCAGGACAUCUAUGAGGGCCACGCGGGGACGGGGUCGGACAAGCGGUGCUCUAGGGAGCUGGCACCAACGUCCCUGCUCCCUUGGGGCAGUGACGACGCCGUGCCAGUGGCCGCAGAGAACACACAAAGGAAGCCCCGACCCAUCUUCUGGACCUGGAGACAUCACAAGGAGGGGACUGGUGCGGACCCCGAGUCAGAGCAUUCCUCGGUCCCCCGCGGGGAACAAUAGGCGCAGCAGGCCGGGGUGGCUGGGCGGUUUGGCCCGCGCGCCGCACAAAGCCCGCUUGGACCGCGCUGCACGUGACGUGCGCGCGCGCGCGGGCUGGGGGGUGGAGGUCCUGAAUCCACCUGGAACACUUUCAGGAAGACAAACGCGGUUCCUCCUAUUUCUGAGCAAGUCUGGGCCAGCUGGGAGCCGACCAGAAACCGCAAGCUGGGGAGACGCAGGCGCGCGGGCUGAGCGCUAACGGAGGGCGAGACCCAUCGCGCGCCCGCCCACCGGGGAGCGGUGCAGACGGGGCAGCGGGAUCUGCACUCCGGGGACCCGAGCUACCGCCCGCCAGCCCCGCCCUCGAGCUACUCCGGGCGCCUGGCGACUUAUUCGCACCCCCCCCCCACACACACACCCUGCAUUCCCCCAGCUCCUCUCCACCCACUGCUUGCCCCAGCGACAGAAGCCCUUACAAGCUGCUUUCUCCCAAGAAAGGGACGAAACCAUCUCUGAAGGCAGUACAAGAAAAAUCCCAAAGGGUCAGAAGGUUUUUUGCAGACUCUUGUUUAAAAGUUUCUGUUUGCUUGUAGGAGUACUUGAGUGGGAGGAAGUAGGGUAACAAGACCAUUGUUGAACUUGGGAUAAACUUGAAUGCCAUUUAAAAUAACAAUUAAAACACAACACCAGAUACAAUGAAAGGUCUCCUUUUUCUACACUAAGGUAGACUCUUGAGUAUUUUUAGUUCAGUUCUCU